CCUACGGGAGGCAGCAGUGGGGAAUAUUGCACAAUGGGGGGAACCCUGAUGCAGCGACGCCGCGUGGGUGAAGAAGUACUCCGGUAUGUAAAGCCCUGUCAGCAGGGAAGAAAAUGACGGUACCUGACCAAGAAGCCCCGGCUAACUACGUGCCAGCAGCCGCGGUAAUACGUAGGGGGCAAGCGUUAUCCGGAUUUACUGGGUGUAAAGGGAGCGUAGACGGCAAGGCAAGUCUGGAGUGAAAGCCCGGGGCCCAACCACGGGACUGCUUUGGAAACUGUGUUGCUGGAGUGCAGGAGGGGUAAGCGGAAUUCCUAGUGUAGCGGUGAAAUGCGUAGAUAUUAGGAGGAACACCGGUGGCGAAGGCGGCUUACUGGACUGUAACUGACGUUGAGGCUCGAAGGCGUGGGGAGCAAACAGGAUUAGAUACCCUAGUAGUC
This 440-nucleotide ribosomal RNA is filed under the name uncultured bacterium. RNAcentral describes it as "partial 16S ribosomal RNA". It matches the Rfam family "Bacterial small subunit ribosomal RNA", at positions 338 to 795 of the family's 1533-position model. The record is from RNAcentral.